AGUCUGGGCCAUACUUUGUAUCAAUACAUCGAUAGACUUCAAAUCAACUACAGUUGAAAUUUAUUUCUUUGUUCUGCUUAAUUAAAUCAUUGUUUAAAAAUCAAAUAUAAUGGAUCAAUCAAACCGAACCAACCAGUGCAAUCCUACACAUGCCCCAAGUGGCCCAGGCCACAAUGCUGGCUACGCAGGGACUGGAACCAAGAGCGAUCUUGGUAAUCACGCAAACCAAAUGAACCCAAACAGCGCUGCUUAUGCCAGUAGUCGAGGGGGCAAUAAGAAGUGAUCACUCAGGUUACUCCAAGACUCAAUGAUGAUUUUAUUCUAAUAGAUUUUCUUUGCAGCUUACAUCUAUUGAAUCUUUACAGAAUUAAAUAAAAUUAAAUUGAAAAUAA
Molecule: long non-coding RNA, 392 nt
Organism: Tetranychus urticae (two-spotted spider mite)
Lineage: Eukaryota; Metazoa; Arthropoda; Arachnida; Trombidiformes; Tetranychidae
Source: RefSeq, a predicted model, not a curated record